RNAcentral lists this ribosomal RNA (411 nucleotides) under uncultured Pseudomonas sp. RNAcentral describes it as "bacterial SSU rRNA". It matches the Rfam family "Bacterial small subunit ribosomal RNA", at positions 855 to 1274 of the family's 1533-position model. Lineage: Bacteria; Pseudomonadati; Pseudomonadota; Gammaproteobacteria; Pseudomonadales; Pseudomonadaceae. The record is from RNAcentral.
ACGCAUUAAGUUGACCGCCUGGGGAGUACGGCCGCAAGGUUAAAACUCAAAUGAAUUGACGGGGGCCCGCACAAGCGGUGGAGCAUGUGGUUUAAUUCGAAGCAACGCGAAGAACCUUACCAGGCCUUGACAUCCAAUGAACUUUCUAGAGAUAGAUUGGUGCCUUCGGGAACAUUGAGACAGGUGCUGCAUGGCUGUCGCCGUACGUGUCGUGAGAUGUUGGGUUAAGUCCCGUAACGAGCGCAACCCUUGUCCUUAGUUACCAGCACGUAAUGGUGGGCACUCUAAGGAGACUGCCGGUGACAAACCGGAGGAAGGUGGGGAUGACGUCCAAGAUAUCAUGGCCCUUAUGGGCUACACACGUGAAUGGUCGGUACAAAGGGUUGCCAAGCCGCGAGGUGGAGCUAAUCC